This 561-nucleotide ribosomal RNA is filed under the name uncultured bacterium. RNAcentral describes it as "bacterial SSU rRNA". It matches the Rfam family "Bacterial small subunit ribosomal RNA", at positions 338 to 917 of the family's 1533-position model. The record is from RNAcentral.
CCUACGGGAGGCAGCAGUGGGGAAUCUUGCGCAAUGGGCGAAAGCCUGACGCAGCCAUGCCGCGUGAAUGAUGAAGGUCUUAGGAUUGUAAAAUUCUUUCACCGGGGACGAUAAUGACGGUACCCGGAGAAGAAGCCCCGGCUAACUUCGUGCCAGCAGCCGCGGUAAUACGAAGGGGGCUAGCGUUGCUCGGAAUUACUGGGCGUAAAGGGAGCGUAGGCGGAUAGUUUAGUCAGAGGUGAAAGCCCAGGGCUCAACCUUGGAAUUGCCUUUGAUACUGGCUAUCUUGAGUAUGGGAGAGGUAUGCGGAACUCCGAGUGUAGAGGUGAAAUUCGUAGAUAUUCGGAAGAACACCAGUGGCGAAGGCGGCAUACUGGCCCAUUACUGACGCUGAGGCUCGAAAGCGUGGGGAGCAAACAGGAUUAGAUACCCUGGUAGUCCACGCUGUAAACGAUGAGUGCUAGUUGUCGGCAUGCAUGCAUGUCGGUGACGCAGCUAACGCAUUAAGCACUCCGCCUGGGGAGUACGGUCGCAAGAUUAAAACUUAAAGGAAUUAGACGG